Molecule: long non-coding RNA, 1813 nt
Organism: Orcinus orca (killer whale)
Lineage: Eukaryota; Metazoa; Chordata; Mammalia; Artiodactyla; Delphinidae
Exons: 3
Source: RefSeq, a predicted model, not a curated record
UAACUAGUUAGUUCUUCUAUUAUAACACCAAUUGCUGGGGGAAAGCGCGCACGCAGUCCCCCACUACCACAAAUUAUGCAGUCGAGUUUCUCCCAUUUAGAGAAAUCGCAGGCGUCAGCACACUCGCAGUGCAAUGAAUGAGCCUCAUCCUGGGAAAACCACCUUAGUGAUCAUGGUAUCUCCCCUGCCAGGUAAGUAUGAACCGUUUGCCCCACCACCCAGUACAGCCUUAGACGCCUACACUGUACACACACGCUCCCCACCCACCCUCCGCACCCCCUCCCCUUCCACGCCUCUCAGCCCUCCAAACUACUCUGCUAAUAAAAUCCAAGCAACUCUGCUAAUAAAAUCCAAGUAACUUCUCCGGAAAACUUCCACAGCCCGGGAAGUGGCUCGCGGGGAAUUGUACCCAUAAGCUGCAAGAUUUACAUAAGCCAAGCCCCAUUCCCGACCGCUUAGGCGGCUCCUCUCCUCCAACCCCCGCCCUGUCCCCGCCCUGCCGAGAUGACCAAUGGGCGGGCCGACUGCUGAAGGGGAAGUGACGUCACCAUGGCCGCCCACUUCGGGAGCCCACCAAGCCGAGAAUACAAGAAAUGAAGAUUCUGAAAAAGAAGCUGAUGACCAAGGGAUGAUAAGGGAUAGAAAGAUGAAGUGUUUGCUUGAAGAGUGAGGGGACACGGGUUCGAGCCCUGGUCCGGGAAGAUCACACAUGCCGCGGAGCAACUAAGUUCAUGUGCCACAACUAAUGAGCCUGUGCUAUAGAGCCCGCGAGCCACAACUACUGAAGCCCGUGCACCUAGAGCUCAUGCUCUGCAACAAGAGAAGCCACCGCAAUGAGAAGUCCUCGCACCGCAAUGAAGAGUAGCCCCCACUCGCCGCAACUAGAGAAAGCCCAUGCAGCAACGAAGACCCAAAGCAGCCAAAAAUAAAUAAGUAAAAUAAAUAAAUAAAUAAAAUAAAUUUAUUUUAAAAAGAUGUUUGUACAUGUUUGAAGCAUUACAUUAGGUACCUGCCAUCUUUCUUCCUUUCCAUUUUUUUUCCUAAAGGGCUCACCCUAUUUCCUGCACAGGACCCGACAUGGUUCUCAUUUGAAUUAUGGCAAGUUGGAAGACAUUGGUGGUCAUGCAGGUUGAUUUUAUUUUUAAGAAUGAGUUCUGUUUCUGACAUAAAGAGGAAAAGAAUGUAAGUUAUGAAAAGUUAAAUAUUAAAUAUCUUCCAUUCCAAAGAUACAUUUUUUGCAACUUCUUUAAUAGGGUAAAGAACUACAUUUCAAAGGGUGAAACACAAGAAUGGCUAUUGGGAAUUUUCCCCAUAAGUAAUUUGUGACUUGAUCCUGACCAGCUCUGAGAUCUGUAUGAUUCAUGUUGUUGCUUUCAUAAAUGUUAUGUCCAUAAAAUGGAGUUCUUAGAAGCAAUAUUUGAGUUCUCCACUGGAUUUAGGAAGAAUUGCUGGGAUGCUUGAAUAACUGCAGAGCAAGAGGCCCUCAAAUUUUCCUACUUUGUCUUUAAGUAAUACUUCAUAGUUUGGCUGACUUUUCAUCCAUUCUGCUGAUUCUGUCAGUGAGAUCCUCUUUAUUGACAGCCAAAGGCACUCAUGGAAAAUGCUUAAACAACCAAGUGUAAAAGCAGAAGUUGAGGUCACUUCAUCUACUAUGAAAGUGGGGCAUGUCUCUAUCUCAGACCUGAGUCUGUUGAUGGAUGUGUUUGUUAUUGUUGUUGGUGGUUGUGAUCAUGGUUGAAUUUUUUGUUUGUGUUGUUGUUUGUUUUAAUUUAUUAUUACCUCUAGGGUAUAAUUGUGGAAUGAUAGCUUUAUU